Molecule: non-coding RNA, 69 nt
Organism: Allokutzneria albata
Lineage: Bacteria; Bacillati; Actinomycetota; Actinomycetes; Pseudonocardiales; Pseudonocardiaceae
Rfam family: ASpks TB sRNA
Source: Rfam
CUUCAGCGAGCCCAGCAGCAACGGCUGCUCGCGAUCCUGCCCGUAGGUGGCCAGCAGCGCCUGUGCCUC